Molecule: transfer RNA, 72 nt
Filed under: Candidatus Colwellbacteria bacterium CG_4_9_14_0_2_um_filter_50_12
Lineage: Bacteria; Candidatus Colwelliibacteriota
Description: tRNA-Arg
Rfam family: tRNA
About the family: Transfer RNA (tRNA) molecules are approximately 80 nucleotides in length. Their secondary structure includes four short double-helical elements and three loops (D, anti-codon, and T loops). Further hydrogen bonds mediate the characteristic L-shaped molecular structure. tRNAs have two regions of fundamental functional importance: the anti-codon, which is responsible for specific mRNA codon recognition, and the 3' end, to which the tRNAs corresponding amino acid is attached (by aminoacyl-tRNA synthetases). tRNAs cope with the degeneracy of the genetic code in two manners: having more than one tRNA (with a specific anti-codon) for a particular amino acid; and 'wobble' base-pairing, i.e. permitting non-standard base-pairing at the 3rd anti-codon position.
Source: RNAcentral
GCUCCCGUGGUGAAAUGGAUAUCACACCAGGCUUCGAACCUGGUAUUGGGGGUUCGAAUCCUCCCGGGAGCA